RNAcentral lists this ribosomal RNA (693 nucleotides) under Triticum aestivum (bread wheat). Its description in RNAcentral is "partial small subunit ribosomal RNA". The record is from RNAcentral. Lineage: Eukaryota; Viridiplantae; Streptophyta; Magnoliopsida; Poales; Poaceae.
AUGACCAUUGGCUGUCUCCCUCCCCUCACGCACCCGCUCGCUGUCUCCUCUCCUCCGCACCCUCUCUGCUCCUCGUCGCUGCCGGUUUGUUACCCGCUCGCCGUUGGAGUUGCCAUGCCUCGGCGACCUCGGCUGCGCAUCCGCCGCCGCGUCACGGGCCCACGCGCCCGUCGCCGGAAGAGGAGGGAGAGGAGGGACGUGGGCGGCGGAGGUAGCGGCGUCACGCCUGCUGGGGACGUGUGGUGCACGUGCACCCCGGGGAUUCCCUUCGCCGCCGAGGCGUCGUCCGUGGACUGCGUUGUGGCGCGCCACCACACGGAGGCUCCGGGCCGCCGCGGGGACGGGGAGAGGCGACACCGGGAGAGGACCGCCGAGCAACGGGCGCGCAGGGUCACCAUGCGGGAGCACAUCGAGCUACUCGCGCUGGAGGACAGGAUUGGCUACGUAAGCACAGGGCUGCGCGAAGACGAGAUCGUCCGCGGCCUUAGGGUUGGCAAAAACCUGUCGUUCCACCGCAAGCAUUUCUCAAUAGAGACGAAGCGGAGCUGCAGCAUUUGCCAAGAAGAGUUUGAAGCGAGUGAGGAGGUAGGGAGGUUGAGCUGCGGCCACGGCUACCAUGUGCACUGCAUCAAGCAGUGGCUCUCCCGAAAGAACGCCUGCCCACUUUGCAAGACCGCCGUCUCAAAACCAUGA